UGGGUCCAACAAACACAGGGCUUUCAUCCAGGAGACUGCUGUCUGUGUCCUGUGUGUUAAGUUUGACUUUCACGUAACAAUCAGCUGUUCAUUCGUCUCCCGUGUUCACAGUGUCACAGUGUCAUUUUCACUUUACAAAC
Sebastes umbrosus (honeycomb rockfish) is the source of this 140-nucleotide long non-coding RNA. RefSeq lists it as uncharacterized. The record is from RefSeq and is a predicted model, not a curated record. Lineage: Eukaryota; Metazoa; Chordata; Actinopteri; Perciformes; Sebastidae. The transcript is spliced from 3 exons.